Molecule: RNA transcript, 5103 nt
Organism: Salmo salar (Atlantic salmon)
Lineage: Eukaryota; Metazoa; Chordata; Actinopteri; Salmoniformes; Salmonidae
Gene name: StAR-related lipid transfer (START) domain containing 7
Source: RefSeq, marked provisional
AGGGUACGGGUAGGUUUUAAAUCAGAUUUUAAUAAGAUAAAUUGUAGUAAUAGGCGGGUUUUAGCCAUGAUUAUGACUUUGUGGCUGUGGUAACUAGGGACAAAUAUCAUGUCGACUGACUUCGAUGUGUAAGAAAAACGUGAUGCUGGUUAUUGCACGGAGUUGAAAGUACGAUUAAAUUGGUGAGCUAGCUAAUAAUUGAACCAAAUGGACGACUAUUAAAAUCAAUAGUGGUUUAUACGACUAUUCAUAAACUGUACAUUGUGCCUGCCGUCACUCAAAUACCAUCGGUUCAAUGCUGGUACGUUAGCUGGUGCUUGUCUCGUGCUCUUGAAUUGCGUAGCUUAGCUAACAAGCUAAUGUCAAAUACAGUUUGAGACCUGGUUUGAUACUUUGUUGUAAUCUCUUAGGCCUUUAAGUUAACAACAUAACCACCUAGCGUUAGAGUAAUCUGCAUCUUUGGCAGUGUUUACUUCCUAUGUUAUAUAAAUGAUUCGUAGUUAGUUAAUUUCCCAUCAAUACUGACAACGUUACAAUUGACAUUGUUGGUAACAAAUGUUCCAAAUACACCACAGAUAUCACAUAUGAUAGGAAAGUUAACUAAUAGGCGUGCACUUGCUUUAAUAAGCUGUCACUUCUAGUGGUCGAACUUACUCUUCCACAAUCAGCAGAAUGUUUCAGUCUACACCACGGCGACUUAUAAAAUUAUGUGAAAUCAGUGUGUGUGCUGUUUGGUUUCAAAGCAGUAAUACAGUGAGACAGGGAAUUGGCAAUGGCAAAUCCGAAACCACGACAUGGAUGAGAAGACGCAUGGGCCUGUUGUUAUCAUGGCUCCAGAGAUCCGGGGUGGGCACCAGUAAAAAAGUGGCGUCUGACAAUAAGAAGCAAGGCCUGCUGUCAAUUUUUGCCAACCAUUGCAGCUUUGUGACAGGCCAGAGGCUUCGACGCGCCUAUCAGAUUGGAGAGCUUUACGCAAACCUGUACUCAGAGCGAACUAGGUGGACCCUGGUAGGAAGCAUAUGGCGUCGACUCCAGAACAAGCACGCUUCCACGGGGAAGCUUGUGGCUGCACUGGCCGGUGUCUUCCUGUGGGAGGACGAGAAGGUCCGAGAUGAAGAACUACACAGGUGUGGACUAGAGCUCCAAGCUUUGGAGUCAGUGAAGAAUCUGAGUGCAUCCUCAGAGAAGGCUGAAGGGCAGGUGGAGACAAGCUGGGAAGUUGUCAUGGAGAAGAAGAAUUUCAAAGUGUGGAGGCGGCCAAUUGAGGGAAGCCACUUGUGUGAAUACAGAGUUUUGGGUUCUUAUAACGACGUCACCCCCCGACAGUUCUUCAAUGUCCAGUUGGACACGGUGUACAGGAAGACAUGGGAUGCUCUGGUUCUCAAGCUGGAGGUGGUGGACCGGGACGUCAACACAGGCUCAGAGGUUGUGCACUGGGCCACACGUUUCCCUUAUCCCAUGUACUCGAGGGACUAUGUUUAUGUGCGUCGCUACAAUGUUGAUGUGGAGAAUAAUCUGAUGGUCCUGAUCUCCAGAGCAGUUCAGCAUCCUGGAGUCCCAGAAACUCAGGACUAUGUCAGAGUCCACUCAUACCAGUCCAAGAUGGUCAUUCGCCCUCACAAGUCCUUUGAUGAGAAUGGCUUUAACUACCUUCUGACCUACAGCGACGACCCUCAGACCGCCUUUCCCCGCUACUGUGUGAGCUGGAUGGUGUCCAGUGGUAUGCCUGACUUUCUGGAGAAACUGCAUACUGCAGCCCUGAAGGCUAAGAACCUGGAGGUAGGGAUCUAUGAUUAUGCCAGCGCCGUGAAGUCCAAGGACACCAAGCACCAGCCCAGCCAGGACCGGCUUGGGGACAACACGCGCCCUGGGCAGAUCUACGCCUAAGGGACAUUUUUUUUAAGCAGGGUUGGGGAGAGUAACCUGCACCUGCUCGCAUUCAACGAGCUUCAAAACACAAGCUUUUGGACAAGGGGUGAUGGGAUAUCAAAUGAAGCUGGAAUAUACAUACGUUGAAGAUAUGCUGUACUCGUGCUAUACUGUUGCUAUUUGAGUGGUUAUAAUGGUCACAGCCAUAUUGAUAACAUAAUUGUCAUGAGAAGCUUAAAUUGUACCAACAAGAGCCUUUGAACACUUUGGAGGAAAGACUUCUCUUUUUCUGCCAGGAGAAUUGCCAUUGGAGCUUUCUGCCUUGAAACAAUAGUGCUAGACAGCCAACAUCCUGAGGGGAGAGGUGUCCAUCAUGCCUCCUUUUGUUAACUAGCUGCUACACCAACUAGCGAGACUGCACCAAAAACAUUUCCCCUAUAGAGAUGUUGCCAAAGCAUUGUUUCUCACGUCAUCCACCAUGUCUAGUAGUUUCUUCCAGCCACCUUGUUUGUGUUCCUUAUUUGGUCAUAUCCGCACUGAAAUAGCUCGCUGUAAAGGCUUAGCUACAUGCAUGCAUGCAUAGUUUGUUUAUACAACUGAGAAAGAAGAACAUCUAUAAAUAAACACGAUGUGAUACCAGGAACUCAAGGAACAUGCUUUGUAGCUGAAUGCCUUGGCACAUUGACUUCCACAGAUGAGUGAAUUUAAGGGCUCUAGUGGUCUCUUUUUCACGUUAUGGGAUUAGUGACGUUUUUGUCUGCAGAACUGAGGUUUCUCACUUCUUUGUCUGUCACAUCUUGUCUGUGUUUUAAACUGCCAGGUCACUUCUAACAGCCUUCUGAAGAUUACCAGUGUCUUCCUGUCCAAGGUGUCUUAUGGCAACCGCAAAAUCCUCUAUGGGAAAGUGUUCUUGCUGGUUUUUGUUUUACUUGCAUUGCAGUUCCCCUCCACUCGUCCAUGUUUUAUGCCCUGAUCCAAAAAUUCUAUAAAAAAAUAAGCAUGUGUGUUCUUGUCACCUAACUAUCUGCUUUCCAAUGGAAUGGAUAUUUACAUUAUCUUGAGUGACUUACAGGAACAAUGAGGGUUAAAUGACUUGCUCAAGGGCACAUGGACAGAUGUUUUUAACCUAGUCUGCCCUGGGAUUUGAACCAGCAACGUUUUGAUUAUUGGUCCUACACUCUUAACUGCUAGGCUACCUGCUGCCCCCAUGACUGUGACUGAAUAACUGUACUUUGUCCUGAGUACAAAGUUCAAAGUAAUGGAACAGGCAUUAUUAGGACAGACUGCUUGAUAGUUUGCACUACAGAGGAAGAUGUUUGUUUGCUCAGCUGUUACUGUACCUUCACAGUGAAAGUAGCCUUACUUACAGUAGUGCAACACUUUUUCUAUUACUGAUGAGCUUUGGAAGGCACGUGUGUAGUAACAUCAUGUUCCCUUUGCAUCCUUGUGUGUAUAUGUCUAAUAUAUUUAAUGUGGGUUUUUUUUCAGUCUGAUAUAUUAGCUAGUUCCUUCUGGUGGACCAAGGGGCAUGAAUGUGUGCUCUGUGGGAUAGAUAAACACAUGUGAAUUCUCUAUUUACAGCCUGACAAUCUGGUACAAUUGGAAUUAACACCGGUUUCUGUGUGAUAUUCAUUUUUUGUCUGUGUUGCUGAUAUUGGUUAAAACAGGUAUUUUUUGUCUGUUGCUGAUAUUGGUUAAAACAGGUAUUUUUUGUCUGUGUUGCUGAUAUUGGUUAAAACAGGUAUUUUUUUUUCAGUGACUUUCAUGAAUUUAUGCUUCCAGUAUACAGUACAUGCGUGACUACAGUACAUGAAACAGAUUGUUGGUAGUUCACCAUUACUGAGUUAGAAAUGUAAAAGUGCAUUAAAAACAGUGGUGGAAAAAGUACCAAAUUGUCAUACUUGAGUAAAAAUACCUUAAUAGAAAAUGACUCAAGUGAAAGUCACCCAGUAAAAUACUACUUGAGUAAAAGUAUUUGGUUUUUUAAAAUACUUCAGUAUGAAAAGUAAAUGUAAUUUCUUAAAUAUACUUAAAUAUCAAAAGUGAAAGAAUUAAUCAUUUCAAAUGAAUUAUAUUAAGCAACCCAGGCGACACCAUUUUCUUGUUUUAAUUUACGGAUAGCCAGGGGCACAUUCCAACACUCUGACAUUGUUUACAAAAUAAGCAUGUGUUUAGUGAGUCCGCCAGAUCAGAAGUAGGAUGACCUCUUGAUAAGUGCUUGAAUUGGACCAUUUUCCUGUUCUGCUAAGCAUUCAAAAUGUAACGAGUUCUUUUGGGUGUCAGGGAAAAUGUAUGGGGUAAGAAGUACAUUAUUGUCUUUAGGAAUGUAGUGAAGUAAAAGUUGGAAAAUAUAAAUGUUAAAGUACAGACCCCAAAAAACUACUUUAGUACUUUAAAAUAUUUUUACUUAAGUACUUUACACCACUGAUUAAAAGGAUGCUAUUGAACUAUGGUAUGGGUAAUUUUGUUUAAUUCCUUGGGGUCCCACAAUGGCUGGAAGUCUAUGGGUAUCUACUAACAUGCUUUCAGAUACCCAUAGACUUCCAGUCAUUGUGCUGACGCUAGUUAGCGUUAGCAUUUGCUAGCAAACUAACUUCCUUCAUACUGGACACGGAUACAUAAAAAUGGUAUCCACAAGUUCAUCUGGCUCUGGGGAAGUAGAUAAAUGGCCUUAUUGCCAAAAUCCGGAACCAUCCCUUUAAAGUAACUUACUCUCAUCAAGUAUGAAGAUCGUUUUCCUACUUUUACCUUUGAUAAACACACUUGUUUUCUGUUUGGGGGAAAAAACUGUUCAGUUAGCAGUAUAUAAAUGUUUGAAAUGUUGUGAGAGGAAAUUGCCUCUAAUUGAGCUUUUGUUUUGAGAUGGUCAGUUGUAGAGCUACUGUAUGCUGAACAUAAGAAACUUUGGUUUCUAUAUUGAAAUACUACUGUAUGCAAUGUUUUGGGAAUGUCCACCUUGUGAUUGUACCACUUUCUGGUGUGCUAUCACUUUUUCUUUCUAGACAACUAUGUCACCUCCCGUAGGUCACAGUGGUGUGUUCUAUAAACUAAAUCUCUUUUUCAACAUGCAGUUGAACACCUUGGAUAUGAUUUCCAGAAGUUGAUUCUUUAGAAAUUGUGUGAAAGAAAUUGAGAAGAAAACAAAAAUCUAUGAAACCAGGAAAGAAGUCGUCAUUGUAUGAUUCCAUGUUGAAAUGGAGCAACUAAUCAGAUUCAAUAAAUCCAUUUGAAGUA